Molecule: non-coding RNA, 703 nt
Organism: Doryrhamphus excisus (bluestripe pipefish)
Lineage: Eukaryota; Metazoa; Chordata; Actinopteri; Syngnathiformes; Syngnathidae
Source: RefSeq, a predicted model, not a curated record
CACACCACUGCCAAAGCCCCCUUCAAUAUCAGCUUGCGUGUAUAAGACUAAACCUCCCCCGCCCCCGGUUGUAUUGUUCAGCAUUAUUCUACCCCGACAAUGGGAAAUCACACUUUGAAAGUCAUUUUCAAAAAGGGGGAAGCCAAUCAAAAAUAAUGGCACUUAUUGUUCCUCUUUGGCUCAGUGGCCUGCCCCUCCCUUGGCUUCAUUCACAUCCAUUAUACAGACAAAUUAAAUAAAAGCGAGUAUGGGGUCGGAGGAGGGCUGAGAGCUGCGUUGACCAUCGCCAGAGGCGUUCAGGCUCAGGAGGAGCUCUGCGGAGCCAGAGAAGAGGGAAGCACUGAGAGAUGCUGAUGCGUAACACGGCAUAGUCACGUAUCGAAGAUGGACACGCUCAGCUGCGCCAAAAAGAUGGGAUUUCUGUCUGGUGUUUCUCUGCUGUCCUGCAAAAGCUCCAAGUUAUGCUAACUGGAUGACCGGAGGCCUGCUGAGAGGAGGGAAGGAAGUUGCUAAGCCUGCCGCUGAAAUUGUGAUGGUGACAGCUUCUCAGACAUGUUUGAUGCCGUCAGAUCAGCAAGACCCCCCCCAUCAUCCUCUCAAACCAUAAAGCCAUCACAGAUGAAGCGGAGAGACAGGCGUACAGAGCUUGGCCUUGGUUGAAGCCUAUGUUGUAGACUUGUUGACAAUAAACGUUGGCAUUGUU